AGCUGGGGCGGACGCGUCCCUCACUCCGCGCAGGCCCCGCCCCUGGGGCGCGGCCACACCCUCCCGCGGAGCCCCGCCCCCGGCACGUGGACCUUGUCCCGGAAGACGGGAUUCCCCGCAGACCCCGCCGGCCGCCCCUUGGGCCCCGCGCCUCCGCCCGCCGCGGUCCCGGGGCUGCGCGGCCCGGCGGGGCACUCACGAGGGCACCUCGAGCGCGCGGCGCGCCUCCUCUUUGGCCAGGGCCUCGGCCAUCAUGUACAGGUGUCCGGGCAGCAGGGUCAGGUUGGACGGGAUGCGGAGCUGAGGGGCGAUGAGGCACCCGAGGGCGCCUGGACGUCAGGGAACGGGCGGCUGGUGCCCGCGUCACCGAGGGGACACCCUGAGGUCGGGGUGCGGGCCCAGGCAGCCAGGAUGGGAACCCGGGCCUGGGGGCUCCAGAGCGACCCUGCGCCUCCUCAGGGCAGGGGUGAAGAGACUUCAGGGAGGGGAAGGACAGAUCAGAUGCUCGAAUGUAGACUCUCAAAACUCUACAGGCUGCGGGGCCAGACAGGGGACAAAGGACUAAAGCACAGAUCAGGAAUGUUGACAAAAACUCCUGGCUCUUAAAUAAUGGCAGAUCACUUUCACAGUUUUAACACUUGGCAAAAGCAGAAGCCGUUUGCGGGCUGCGUUGGGCUCAGAGGCUGCCAGCGUGAGACCCCUGUAGGAGACUCUGGGGGCCUGGUUGAGGACUGUGGCAUCGAAGGAGAAAAGAGGGUCCCCGAGGAGGCACCCAGUCUUACCUCUACCACCGUCAGGAUGAAGCCUUUCCACAUCUCCCGAGACUCCAGGCUCUCUACCUGCGGAGGGACAGAAAAAGAGCCCAUGGCGAUGAGCCUCGGUCAAUUCAUCUGUGAAAUGGGAACGAGGAAUAAUAGCCACAGUUUUCCAAGGGUUCUUUUGAAGAUUAAACGAGUUGGGACCCGGGUUACUUUAGGAUGUCUGGACAUCAUAAGUCCUCAGGAAAGUGGGAUAGAAUUCUUUAAUGUUACUGCGUCAAGUUUGAAAACACUACAAAUCAGAUCCUGUAUCUCCAAUGCUCUAAACCCUCCCCGGGCUCCCGUCUGCUUUGGGGCGAAGAACCCAAGGCCUAGAGAAGUCAAGUGACUCGGCCAGUGUCACCAACCCAGCGGUAGCCUCCGUGCGACUCCAUGCUAGUGUGUGUUAGUGGACCUUGGCACUGGCCGUUUCCUCUGCCUGGAGACUCUUUCCCCAGAUCAUCACAGUUUCCUUCAUCACCUGCUUUGGGUCUUUGAACGAACGUCGCCUUCUCUGGGAGGCCCUCCCCAUCCAUGGCCCAACUUCUGGGGAUCUGUUGUUCUUUGAGAAAGGACCAAAGAAUCCUCCUUGAUGGAAUGGGGAAUGCAGAGCAGCGCCCCGCCCCCGCCCUGCCCCUGGCCAGUGUACAGAGGUAGGAGAUCCAGGAGUAAGUUGAACUAACCGUCCACCCACCCACCCAUCUAUGUACCCAUUUUCGCACACAUACACCCCCUUCUCCUUGUCCACCCCAUAAAUGUUUAUUGGGAUCUCCUGUGGGCCUGAGUCUGCGGUCUCAGAAUUUCACAAGGUUCUGGACUCUAGAAGUUAUUGCCGAUUCAGGAUUUGCCCCCAGGAUUCUGAAUUAUAAAUGUCCUAACUCUCUGGUGGUCCAAGGGGGCUGAUACAGCCCAGAUGGUAAGAGAAUGGGUUUGUUUGGUUUUUUUUCCAGCAAAUAUUCCCUGAACAUCUACUCUGCACCCAGUUCUGUUGCAGAGGCAAAAUACUACCUGGGACAUGGCUUCUGUUUCUAAAUAGGUUGUCUUCCAGAAGAAUAUAGAAAGCAUAGAUACUCGGGCACCUGGGGGGCUCAGUCGGUUGAGCGUCCAACCUCAGCUCAGGUCACGAUCUCACAGUUCGUGGGUUCGAGCCCGGCGUCGGGCUCUGCGCUGACAGCUCGGAGCCUGGAGCCUGCUUCUGAUUCUGUGCCUCCCUCCUCUCUCUCUCUGCCCCUCCCCCACUCACACACUGUCUGUCUCUCAAAAAUAAAUAAACGUUUAAAAACUAAAAAGAAAGCAUAGAUACUAAAUCUUCCAGGGAAGAGUAAUCAGUACCCCGAGAGGGACAAACCCUAGGCCUUGAGAUCUGGAGAAAGGCCCUCCAACUGGGAAAUCCGGGAAGACUUCCGGGAGGAGGAGGUACUUUCAUUAGUCCGUAAUGAUAAUGAGGAUAGUUUUCAUAUUGAUGCCCAGUAGCCAUCAUCAGUCCACCUGUCCAUCUGCCUGCCCAUCCAUCUCUUCAUCCACUUAUCUACCCACCCACCCAUCCGUCUCUAUGUCUGUCCAACCAUCGACAUACCCAUCCAUCCACCUACCCAUCUGUCCAUAGAUACAUUUAAGUGACAUUUACUGAGGACUUACCAUGUGCUCGGCCCUGGGAGCAGAGCAGUAAGUGAUUAAACUCAGCAGGUCAGACCUGCUUUGUCGUGUACCCACUAUACGCCAUUGCACAAGGUAUUUAAGCUCUCCGUGCCUCAGUUUCCCCACCCAUGAAAUGGCAAUAAAGAGGAACCUACCGCAGAGGCCGCUGAAAGAAUUGGGUGCGUUAAUACCAGUGAACAGCGUUUGCAGAGUCAGGACCCCAGACCCCUUCUCCAGUAACCAUGGUUACGGCCCUACUAUACCCAUUGUGUAAUAGAGAAAACUGAGGCACAACGAUGGAGAGUCCCUUGCACAAGGCCUGGGAGUCAGGAAGACGUGGGGACCCCUGUGGCCUAGAUGGUGUGUAGGCCUGAGGGGGGCGGUGGGGGGUGGGCACUUGGAGGCACAAGGAAAGGAGGAGGGGACCGCAAUCCGCAGUGGCGGUGGGGGUGGCCAGGGACCGCAGUGGGUGGGUGUUUGGGGUUGUAGCAGAAGAUGAGACAAGUGUGGGGGGUGGGGCGCCUCAGGGAAGGAGGCACUGGGCUUGCAUCCGUCUCUGGUCCUGCCAGAUGCGGCCCCCUCAGCUAUCUCUCCUGGCCUUGACCCCCCCCCCCCCGCAGCCGAGGCUCGGCUCAAGGUUAGUGUGGGGCUGGGAGCUAGGAGCCAGAAGGUUUUCCACUUCCUGGGGGAAGUCCCUGAUCUGUUUGUAUCCAAGAGACAGAGAAGAGAGACCAAGAGGGAGACAGAGGGAGGCAGACAGGCAGGGAGAGACACAGAGAAAGAGAUAAACCAGAGUCAGAGACAGCCAGAGGGUGGGCAGAACCUUUUCCAGCACCCCCAGCAGGCGCCCGGCCCCAGCCACUACCCUCCCCGCCCCCUCGGCCAGGUGUGAAGAUCCAGGCCCAGAGAGGACUGCGUUGGAUACGGGUGGCGAGCGUGAAUGAACAUCCUUGCCCUGUUCGCUCUGUUACGGGGAAAGCGUCUAGUCUUUCCGCAUCGAGUACAAUGUUAACUGCAGGUCCUGAGGAUUAGAACGUGAACAUCUUCAGGGAACCGUUAUUCCACGACCACAGCCUGUUAGAUAUGAUGGCUAACAUUGAUGGAUUGAUUCCUGAAUACUGAACCCGCUAUGCAUCCCUGGAGUAAACCCCACUCAGUCAUGCUCGCCCUGAGAAGGGAUCUGCGCUGACAGUGUGGAGCCUGCUUGGGAUUCUCUUUUCUCUCUCUCACUCUCUUCUCCUCCCCCGCUUACGCACGCACUCUCUCUCUCUCAAAAAAAAAAAAAAAAAAAAAAAAUUAAAUGAAUUGGAAAAUGUCCCCUCCUCUUCAAGCUUCUGGAAGACAUUUUUUUU
Felis catus (domestic cat) is the source of this 3787-nucleotide long non-coding RNA. RefSeq lists it as uncharacterized. The record is from RefSeq and is a predicted model, not a curated record. Lineage: Eukaryota; Metazoa; Chordata; Mammalia; Carnivora; Felidae. The transcript is spliced from 6 exons.